Molecule: ribosomal RNA, 253 nt
Filed under: uncultured bacterium
Lineage: Bacteria
Description: partial 16S ribosomal RNA
Rfam family: Bacterial small subunit ribosomal RNA
Source: RNAcentral
UACAGAGGUCUCAACCGUUGUUCGGAUUCAUUGGGCGUAAAGGGUGCGUAGGCGGUCGCGCAAGUCGGAUGUGAAAUCUCAGGGCUCAACCCUGAAACUGCAUUCGAUACUGCGUGGCUGGAGUGCUGGAGAGGAGACUGGAAUUUACGGUGUAGCAGUGAAAUGCGUAGAUAUCGUAAGGAAGACCAGUGGCGAAGGCGAGUCUCUGGACAGCAACUGACGCUGAGGCACGAAGGCCAGGGGAGCAAACGGG